CUCUUCUUAUUUUCAAGUCAUUGUGUGGCAUCGCAAGGCAUUCUGGUGCAUUUAAGAUGCUUUUUGUAAUUUAUAGCUUGACUGUUUCAUUAACCAUAAACUAAUUUACUUCUUUUUAGGGUAAAAAAAAAAAAAAACAUCUUAUAGGUUGACUAUACCUUUAAAUGUGGAAGAUGGUCUCUAGAAACAUGCACAAAAGCAUGCAUGCAAAGAAACACACACAAGGAUCUCUGGUCAGGUGCUCGCAUGUGUUCACAAAGUCAUCUACAAUCAGUGAUUUGCUGUGAAUUAAUGACUCUAUCCUACCCACACUCCAUCCUCCACUCACGGAAAGGCCCUUUCUAAUUGGACAUUGAUUGUCAAGGCCCUCCAAUCUCGUUUGAAUAUCUAGAGCAUGUUAAUUGAAGAAUGGGACUGGGUGUAUCUUCAUGCUUAAGGGAAGGAGAGUGACAUAGACAAAUGAAUGUUCUCUCACAGACACAAUUACAAGAGCUCACCCAUGAGCAAACUUACACACCACAGAAUAAACAUGAGCUCACGGUCUUUCUCUUCAUGUAUGUUUCAGGCUCCCUAAUGGCUCUGGCUGGCUGCUGUGCUGGAGUCGGUUGGCCCUGGGUUUGCCCUCUCACUGAUCAGUCUCUAAUCCUCGCUGAUGGGGGUCUGCACUGGGAUUAGAGGGGCACGGGACCACAUCUCUUGGGCGGCUGGUCGUCCCCCCUGGAGAGAGCAAGCUCAGAAAUAUAUGCUGAGAGGGGAACUCUGAGAAGCUGACUGAAACGAUACUCAGACGAGACAUUAUUAGCAUGCUCACCAAGGCAAAGAUCAGCUUUAUUUUUGUUCAAACUUUAUUACUGAAAAAAACCUGAACCCUAAGUAUUAAAUUCUGGCGCGUAACUCAUCCAACACUGUUUGUGAAUCUUAAAUUUUGCUUUUGGUGAGAAGAGAUGUACGAUUUAGCUUAUGUUCAAUAGCCCUUCUUGGAUUUGUAACCACAUUGUGAUAGCAAAAAAAUAAAAAAUUCCCUUUGAUGGUCAUUUUAGUGUAUUUUGAUUGUAUUGAUGUUUUGCAAAGAAAAGUAUUUACUACUGUUCAAAAGUUUGGGAUAAGUUUUUUUUUUUUUUUUUUUACAAAAUUAAUAUUUUUAAUGAGCAAGGAUACAUUGAAUUGAUAUAAAAAGACUAAAUACACUUAUCAUGUAUAAAUAAUCAUGGUUUCCACAUUAAUCAGCACAACAUUUUUCAACAUUGAUAAUAAAU
Molecule: long non-coding RNA, 1256 nt
Filed under: Carassius auratus (goldfish)
Lineage: Eukaryota; Metazoa; Chordata; Actinopteri; Cypriniformes; Cyprinidae
Description: lncRNA (ENSCARG00000061263.1)
Source: RNAcentral